GGAGCUGCUCCUAGUACGAGAGGACCGGAGUGGACGAACCGCUGGUGUUCGGGUUGUCAUGCCAAUGGCAUUGCCCGGUAGCUAUGUUCGGAACGGAUAACCGCUGAAAGCAUCUAAGCGGGAAGCCGGCCCAAAGAUGAGUCAUCCCUGAACUUUAAGUUCUGGAAGGGUUGUUAUAGACGAUGACGUUGAUAGGCAGGGUGUGGAAGCGUUGUAAGGCGUUAAGCUAACCUGUACUAAUUGCCCG
RNAcentral lists this ribosomal RNA (247 nucleotides) under Striatella unipunctata. RNAcentral's name for it is "partial Bacterial large subunit ribosomal RNA". It matches the Rfam family "Bacterial large subunit ribosomal RNA", at positions 2668 to 2911 of the family's 2925-position model. The record is from RNAcentral. Lineage: Eukaryota; Bacillariophyta; Striatellaphyceae; Striatellales; Striatellaceae.